Molecule: long non-coding RNA, 2360 nt
Organism: Oncorhynchus keta (chum salmon)
Lineage: Eukaryota; Metazoa; Chordata; Actinopteri; Salmoniformes; Salmonidae
Exons: 2
Source: RefSeq, a predicted model, not a curated record
UAACAGGGGUAACAUGGGUAGCAGGGGUAACAUGGGUAGCAGGGGUAACAUGGGUAACAUGGGUAACAGGGGUAACAUGGGUAACAGGGGUAACAUGGGUAACAUGGGUAACAUGGGUAGCAGGGGUAACAUGGGUAACAUGGGUAACAGGGGUAACAUGGGUAACAGGGGUAACAUGGGUAACAAGGGUAGCAGGGGUAACAUGGGUAACAGGGGUAACAGGGGUAACAGGGGUGACAUGGGUAACAGGGGUAACAGGGGUAACAGGGGUGACAUGGGUAACAUGGGUAACAUGGGUAACAGGGGUAACAUGGGUAACAGGGGUAACAGGGGUAACAGGGGUGACAUGGGUAACAUGGGUAACAUGGGUAGCAGGGGUGACAUGGGUAACAUGGGUAACAUGGGUAACAGGGGUAAGAUGGGUGACAUGGGUAUCAGAGGUAGCCAACUCCUCUGACUAUCAGCCCAGGACUAAUAUACUGUGCCAGAUUUGUAUCGUGAAUGUUGUGAUCCUGAGGCCGUCCUGAUAUGGACCCUGUACAUCAAAGGCAUGACAGACAGUUCUCGUCAGAGGUGUUGGUUGAAUCACUGCAGAUCUGGGACCAGGCUACGAUAUCUGGCCAGUCCUUCAGCAGAGUCCAGUUCCCUGGUCCUCCAGUAAAGAGGGGGGAAAACUGUGGGGAGGAAGACUAAACCGGGCUACAGUGCUAUUAUGAAAUACUUUGGUGAUAUAUUUAGGUAGUUUUUUUGGCUCAUAGAUCUACGUCUAGUGAAUAAUUGAUAAGCUGAAUGGUCUAUUUUAGGGUUGUAAUACAAGUCAACCUGACUCCACACUAUAGGUCCGUGAUGCAACACUAAUGUCACAGCUAUAUUGGCUGGGUCCAAAAUGGCACCCUAUUCCCUGCACAGUGCACUAAUUUUGACCAGAGCCCUAUAGACCCCAGAGCCCUAUGUAGUGCACUACAUUUGACCAGAGCCCUAUAGACCCCAAAGCCCUAUGGACCCUAGAGCCCUAUGUAGUGCGCUACAUUUGACCAGAGCCCUAUAGACCCCAGAGCCCUAUGUAGUGCACUACAUUUGACCAGAGCCUCAUGGGUCCCGGUCAAAAUUAGUAUACUUUGAAGGGAACAGGAUUCCAGUUGGGACCCACACCUUCUUAGCCUGCUAUUGGUGGUUCUUACUGUAUUAAGGUCUGCUAUUGGUGGUUCUUACUGUAUUAAGGUCUGCUAUUGGUGGUUCUUACUGUAUUAAGGUCUGCUAUUGGUGGUUCUUACUGUAUUAAGGCCUGCUAUUGGUGGUUCUUAUUGUAUUAAGGCCUGCUAUUGGUGGUUCUUAAUGUAUUAAGGUCUGCUAUUGGUGGUUCUUACUGUAUUAAGUCCUGCUAUUGGUGGUUCUUACUGUAUUAAGGUCUGCUAUUGGUGGUUCUUACUGUAUUAAGGUCUGCUAUUGGUGGUUCUUACUGAUAAGAGCAGGAUGUUUUUUUUUAAAGUAAAACAGACACUCUCUUAACAUCGACACUUUCAUUUCUUGUUUCAAAUAACUAAUUUUAGGGCUCUAUUCAAUCUGCAUCGCUGAACAGAUUGCACAUAGAAAUGUAGAGGUAAUUCCUGAUCGAAUGCAACGUUUCUGGUUGAAUGCAUUCUCCCCUAAACGUGGGAACGUUGCCUUUAAAUGUCAAUCACGCUGUAACGUUUAAUCUCCGAGAUACAGAUUGAAUAGAGCCAUUAGAUUACACUCUGUAAUCAUUAUCAAUUCAAACAAAUAAAGUUUAGCUGAAAUGCUGAUAUAGAUUUGUUUUAUAUACCAUCGUUUAUAAGUGGGAAAAUUAAAUAAAUACAGUAUAAUGUAUGUGUCCAUCAAAAAUGGUUAAACAAUGUGUUCAUUUAAGUGUUCAGCGCUAAAUAAUUGGAAAACCAAUCUCUCGAUAGACAUGACAUUUCUGUAGACAUCUUUAAUUUGCAUGUGAUUCAUUUGCUGUGUACUAUACAUAUAUAACAUGGAAUAAAGAUCCAGUCUAUAAUCAAAAGGACAUGAUGACACUGAACAGUAGCUGUCAACAGCUCAAUACAGGUGUAGAAUCUUAAUUUAAGCCAGUUUGAUAAACGUGAAUUAUGAUAAAUAUAAUUAAUUGUAAUUUUUUUUGGUAGGGUUUGAUACAAUCAAGUCCACAGGAACAAUCAAGUCUAACAUGUCAAAGUUUUACAUGUCCUGCAAUGCAGGAAAGAUCUCCUGCAACAGGUUGAUCAAAUUAAAAUUCUACAUCUGUAGUUUUAAAUGUCACUAAAUCAUGGGCCUAAUGCCACACCAGAGUAUGGGAUCAAUCCUGUAGAAAAUAAAUAUAAUUACCAAAGAUAAAAUAA